GGCGAACGGGUGAGUAACGCGUUGGUGACCUGCCUCGAAGUGUGGAAUAACUCCGGGAAACUGGAGCUAAUACCGCAUGUGGUCUGUGGAUUUAGAAACCACUUACUAAAGGUCUUCGGAUCGCUUCGAGAGGGGCCUGCGUCCCAUCAGCUAGUUGGUAGGGUAAUGGCCUACCAAGGCGACGACGGGUAGGGGACCUGAGAGGGUGAUCCCCCACAAUGGAACUGAAACACGGUCCAUACACCUACGGGUGGCAGCAGUAGGGAAUAUUGCACAAUGGGCGAAAGCCUGAUGCAGCAACGCCGCGUGUGCGAUGAAGGCCUUCGGGUUGUAAAGCACUUUUCUGAGGGAAAAGGAAGGACGGUACCUCAGGAAUAAGUCUCGGCUAACUACGUGCCAGCAGCCGCGGUAACACGUAGGAGGCAAGCGUUAUCCGGAUUUACUGGGCGUAAAGCGCGUGCAGGCGGUUUGGUAAGUUGGAUGUGAAAGCUCCUGGCUUAACUGGGAGAGGUCGUUCAAUACUGCCAAACUAGAGGACGGUAGAGGAAGGUAGAAUUCCUGGUGUAGUGGUGAAAUGCGUAGAUAUCAGGAGGAAUACCAGAGGCGAAGGCGGCCUUCUGGGCCGUUCCUGACGCUAAGACGCGAAAGCAUGGGUAGCAAACGGGAUUAGAAACCCCGGUAGUCCAUGCCGUAAACGAUGCAAACU
RNAcentral lists this ribosomal RNA (706 nucleotides) under uncultured Chloroflexota bacterium. RNAcentral describes it as "bacterial SSU rRNA". It matches the Rfam family "Bacterial small subunit ribosomal RNA", at positions 97 to 817 of the family's 1533-position model. The record is from RNAcentral. Lineage: Bacteria; Bacillati; Chloroflexota.